This 790-nucleotide long non-coding RNA is filed under the name Malus domestica (apple). RNAcentral describes it as "long non-coding RNA (MDOM_LNC016686)". The record is from RNAcentral. Lineage: Eukaryota; Viridiplantae; Streptophyta; Magnoliopsida; Rosales; Rosaceae.
GAAAUUGAAGAGUUGAAGAUUUGAGGUUUCCUACUUGAAGUAGGAAAGCUAAGCCUAAAAGUUUCCAUUUUGGGUUGAUCUUUCCUAAAUCGGAAUUGGCAACCAAAGUUUCUAAAGUUGGAAGUUUCUAUUCUUGGAGGUUUCCAUUUUUGUGAGUUUCUAUUCUCGGCUUUGGGCUUUUGGAUGACCCAUCCUUACUUCUUGGACCUAUGCCGCACCUAAACCCUAACCCUAGCCACUUAAUCAGCCGCACCUAGGCCUUGUUCACAUGCAAAAAUCUGAUUAUUUACCCUAAGCCCAUGCCUCACCUUUCCAUCCUAGAAGCCCUAUUUUACAAACCUUAACCCUAGCCCAUUGUUUCAAUCUGAUUUCAUUAGGGUUUUAGGUGCCUAUAUAUAUGUGUUUUACUCCUUUGGCCGAUCAUCACCCCCUCCACAAUUCAGAAAUUCGUCAAACACAUCCAUCACACUCUGCCGCAGCCUUCCUCCACCAAUCAGCCAUAUUUCCAUGCUUUGCCGCAACCCCCAUGUCCCCAAAACACUACCAUAUCAUUCCUUACCUACUCCUCCAUCCAAAUAAUCCCUAGAACCUGUCUCUAGUCUUUGUGCCGCAGCCAAGAGGAGGAGAAAAAGCUUGGGACGUUCAUGCCAUUCAAUUGAGGGUUGCUGGAACGUUUUAGGUGUUGUCUUUCCUUUGAUUUCUAUGUUUAAUUUUGAUACUCUUUGUGUUGUGAGAAUGAGGAACUAAACCCCCUUAGUUAGGGGGGAAUUCGAAACCAUGUACAUGCUUG